This 442-nucleotide ribosomal RNA is filed under the name uncultured bacterium. RNAcentral's name for it is "partial 16S ribosomal RNA". It matches the Rfam family "Bacterial small subunit ribosomal RNA", at positions 338 to 795 of the family's 1533-position model. The record is from RNAcentral.
CCUACGGGAGGCUGCAGUGGGGAAUAUUGGGCAAUGGGCGCAAGCCUGACCCAGCAACGCCGCGUGAAGGAAGAAGGCUUUCGGGUUGUAAACUUCUUUUAAGCGGGAAGCGCAGAAGACGGUACCUCUUGAAUAAGCAACGGCUAACUACGUGCCAGCAGCCGCGGUAAUACGUAGGUGGCAAGCGUUGUCCGGAUUUACUGGGUGUAAAGGGCGUGCAGCCGGGAAGACAAGUCAGAUGUGAAAUCCCGCGGCUCAACCGCGGAACUGCAUUUGAAACUGUUUUUCUUGAGUACCGGAGAGGUCAUCGGAAUGCCUUGUGUAGCGGUGAAAUGCGUAGAUAUAAGGAAGAACACCAGUGGCGAAGGCAGAUGACUGGACGGCAACUGACGGUGAGGCGCGAAAGCGUGGGUAGCAAACAGGAUUAGAUACCCUUGUAGUC